Conidiobolus coronatus NRRL 28638 is the source of this 72-nucleotide transfer RNA. It matches the Rfam family "tRNA". Rfam says of the family: Transfer RNA (tRNA) molecules are approximately 80 nucleotides in length. Their secondary structure includes four short double-helical elements and three loops (D, anti-codon, and T loops). The record is from Rfam. Lineage: Eukaryota; Fungi; Entomophthoromycota; Entomophthoromycetes; Entomophthorales; Conidiobolaceae.
GACGCGUUGGCGCAAUGGUAGCGCGUCCGCCUCCAGAGCGGAAGGCUGGGAGUUCGAGUCUCUCACGCGUCA